This 1393-nucleotide ribosomal RNA is filed under the name uncultured bacterium. RNAcentral's name for it is "16S ribosomal RNA". It matches the Rfam family "Bacterial small subunit ribosomal RNA". The record is from RNAcentral.
UUCGCCCUUAGAGUUUGAUCCUGGCUCAGGAUGAACGCUGGCGGCGUGCUUAACACAUGCAAGUCGAACGGGAAUUACUUUAUUGAAACUUCGGUCGAUUUAAUUUAAUUCUAGUGGCGGACGGGUGAGUAACGCGUGAGGAACCUGCCUCAAAGAGGGGGACAACAGUUGGAAACGACUGCUAAUACCGCAUAAGCCCACGACCCGGCAUCGGGUAGAGGGAAAAGGAGCAAUCCGCUUUGAGAUGGCCUCGCGUCCGAUUAGCUAGUUGGUGAGGUAAUGGCCCACCAAGGCGACGAUCGGUAGCCGGACUGAGAGGUUGAACGGCCACAUUGGGACUGAGACACGGCCCAGACUCCUACGGGAGGCAGCAGUGGGGAAUAUUGCACAAUGGGGGAAACUCUGAUGCAGCGACGCCGCGUGAAGGAAGAAGUAUCUCGGUAUGUAAACUUCUAUCAGCAGGGAAGAUAGUGACGGUACCUGACUAAGAAGCCCCGGCUAACUACGUGCCAGCAGCCGCGGUAAUACGUAGGGGGCAAGCGUUAUCCGGAUUUACUGGGUGUAAAGGGAGCGUAGACGGUGUGGCAAGUCUGAUGUGAAAGGCAUGGGCUCAACCUGUGGACUGCAUUGGAAACUGUCAUACUUGAGUGCCGGAGGGGUAAGCGGAAUUCCUAGUGUAGCGGUGAAAUGCGUAGAUAUUAGGAGGAACACCAGUGGCGAAGGCGGCUUACUGGACGGUAACUGACGCUGAGGCUCGAAAGUGUGGGUAGCAAACAGGAUUAGAUACCCUGGUAGUCCACACUGUAAACGAUGAUUACUAGGUGUUGGAGGAUUGACCCCUUCAGUGCCGCAGUUAACACAAUAAGUAAUCCACCUGGGGAGUACGACCGCAAGGUUGAAACUCAAAGGAAUUGACGGGGGCCCGCACAAGCAGUGGAGUAUGUGGUUUAAUUCGACGCAACGCGAAGAACCUUACCAAGUCUUGACAUCCUGCGACGAUGCUGGAAACAGUAUUUUCCUUCGGGACGCAGAGACAGGUGGUGCAUGGUUGUCGUCAGCUCGUGUCGUGAGAUGUUGGGUUAAGUCCCGCAACGAGCGCAACCCUUAUGGUCAGUUACUACGCAAGAGGACUCUGGCCAGACUGCCGUUGACAAAACGGAGGAAGGUGGGGAUGACGUCAAAUCAUCAUGCCCUUUAUGACUUGGGCUACACACGUACUACAAUGGCGUUAAACAAAGAGAAGCAAGACCGCGAGGUGGAGCAAAACUCAGAAACAACGUCCCAGUUCGGACUGCAGGCUGCAACUCGCCUGCACGAAGUCGGAAUUGCUAGUAAUCGCAGAUCAGCAUGCUGCGGUGAAUACGUUCCCGGGCCUUGCACUCACCGCCCGUCA